GGGCAGCAUGAGACGAGGAGGAGAUCAUUACCGAGUUUACAACUCCCAAACCCCUGUGAACAUACCUUAAUGUUGCCUCGGCGGAUCAGCCCGCGCCCGGUAAAACGGGACGGCCCGCCAGAGGAUCCAAACUCUUGCUGUUAUUGUAACUUCUGAGUAAAACAAACAAAUAAAUCAAAACUUUCAACAACGGAUCUCUUGGUUCUGGCAUCGAUGAAGAACGCAGCAAAAUGCGAUAAGUAAUGUGAAUUGCAGAAUUCAGUGAAUCAUCGAAUCUUUGAACGCACAUUGCGCCCGCCAGUAUUCUGGCGGGCAUGCCUGUUCGAGCGUCAUUUCAACCCUCAAGCCCCCGGGUUUGGUGUUGGGGAUCGGCAAGCCUUCUGGCGAGCCGCCCCCUAAAUCUAGUGGCGGUCUCACUGCAGCCUCCAUUGCGUAGUAGCUAACACCUCGCAACUGGAACGCGGUGCGGCCAUGCCGUUAAACCCCCAACUUCUGAAUGUUGACCUCGGAUCAGGUAGGAAUACCCGCUGAAACUUAAGCAAUCAUAACCCCGGGAGACACU
This 562-nucleotide ribosomal RNA is filed under the name Fusarium sp. 2 C22. Its description in RNAcentral is "eukaryotic LSU rRNA". The stretch from base 179 to 332 matches the Rfam family "5.8S ribosomal RNA". Lineage: Eukaryota; Fungi; Ascomycota; Sordariomycetes; Hypocreales; Nectriaceae. The record is from RNAcentral.